RNAcentral lists this ribosomal RNA (599 nucleotides) under uncultured euryarchaeote. RNAcentral describes it as "bacterial SSU rRNA". It matches the Rfam family "Archaeal small subunit ribosomal RNA", at positions 858 to 1458 of the family's 1478-position model. The record is from RNAcentral. Lineage: Archaea; Methanobacteriati; Methanobacteriota.
UAGGAAUUGGCGGGGGAGCACCACAAGGGGUGAAGCUUGCGGUUUAAUUGGAGUCAACGCCGGAAAUCUCACCGGGAGCGACAGCAGUGUGAAGGCCAGAUUAAAGGUCUUGCCAGACGAGCUGAGAGGAGGUGCAUGGCCGUCGCCAGUUCGUGCCGUGAGGUGUCCUGUUAAGUCUGGCAACGAUCGAGACCCACGCCCACAGUUGCCAGCGUACUCUCCGGAGUGACGGGUACACUGUGGGGACCGCCGCUGCUAAAGCGGAGGAAGGAAUGGGCAACGGUAGGUCAGUAUGCCCCGAAUAUCCCGGGCUACACGCGGGCUACAAUGGAUGGGACAAUGGGCUCCGACACCGAAAGGUGAAGGCAAUCUCUUAAACCCAUUCUUAGUUCGGAUUGAGGGCUGAAACUCGCCCUCAUGAAGCUGGAAUCCGUAGUAAUCGCGUUUCAAAAUAGCGCGGUGAAUACGUCCCUGCUCCUUGCACACACCGCCCGUCAAACCACCCGAGUGGGGUUUAUGUGAGGGCGUGGUUUUUGCCACGUUCGAACAUAGGUUCCGCAAGGGGGGUUAAGUCGUAACAAGGUAGCCUCAGUCAGUCA